RNAcentral lists this ribosomal RNA (492 nucleotides) under uncultured bacterium. Its description in RNAcentral is "partial 16S ribosomal RNA". It matches the Rfam family "Bacterial small subunit ribosomal RNA", at positions 29 to 507 of the family's 1533-position model. The record is from RNAcentral.
AGUGAACGCUGGCGGUAGGCCUAACACAUGCAAGUCGAACGGCAGCACAGUAAGAGCUUGCUCUUACGGGUGGCGAGUGGCGGACGGGUGAGGAAUACAUCGGAAUCUACUUUUUCGGGGGGGAUAACGUAGGGAAAGUUACGAUAAUACCGCAUACGACCUACGGGUGAAAGCAGGGGAUCUUCGGACCUUGCGCGAUUGAAUGAGCCGAUGUCGGAUUAGCUAGUUGGCGGGGUAAAGGCCCACCAAGGCGACGAUCCGUAGCUGGUCUGAGAGGAUGAUCAGCCACACUGGAACUGAGACACGGUCCAGACUCCUACGGGAGGCAGCAGUGGGGAAUAUUGGACAAUGGGCGCAAGCCUGAUCCAGCCAUACCGCGUGGGUGAAGAAGGCCUUCGGGUUGUAAAGCCCUUUUGUUGGGAAAGAAAAGCAGCAGGUUAAUACCCCGCUGUUCUGACGGUACCCAAAGAAUAAGCACCGGCUAACUUCGUG